GACGUAGGAUGCAAGCGUUGUCCGGAAUUAUUGGGCGUAAAGAGUUCGUAGGCGGUUAUUUAAGUCUGGUGUUAAAGACGGGAGCUUAACUCCCGCAUGGCACUGGAAACUGGAUGGCUAGAGUGUGGUAGAGGUCUCGGGAAUUCCAGGUGUAGCGGUGAAAUGCGUAGAUAUCUGGAGGAACACCGGUGGCGAAAGCGCGAGACUGGGCCAUAACUGACGCUGAGGCGCGAAAGCUAGGGGAGCAAACGGG
This 253-nucleotide ribosomal RNA is filed under the name uncultured bacterium. Its description in RNAcentral is "partial 16S ribosomal RNA". It matches the Rfam family "Bacterial small subunit ribosomal RNA", at positions 524 to 776 of the family's 1533-position model. The record is from RNAcentral.